This 336-nucleotide long non-coding RNA is filed under the name Mytilus galloprovincialis (Mediterranean mussel). The record is from RNAcentral. Lineage: Eukaryota; Metazoa; Mollusca; Bivalvia; Mytilida; Mytilidae.
UUAAAAAGGCAUGUCAUUGUAUAUUAAUUUCAUUGAAACAUAUGUUCCGACGAUAAAAUAUAAAAUAAAGAAUAGGUUACUAUUACUGUUGUACUGAAAUGACAAAAUUGUUUCAUAUUUCUGAUAAAAUGGAUUGACCCUAGCAGGGAAUCGAACCCCAUUCUCCUAUAAAAACAAAUAGGCGUAAUUACCAAUAUACCACCAAGGUUUCCAAUCCAUUUUACAAAUGCAACAAGAUUGUCACCCAGUAUUAAUUUUAAUCUCAUGUAUAAAUACAGCAUUUGAAAUCGUCAGAUGCACAAAGGCGUGCCCUUUGAUCAACUUUAAAAGGUGUAG